GACGAACGCUGGCGGCGUGCCUAAUACAUGCAAGUUGAGCGCUGAAGGUUGGUACUUGUACCGACUGGAUGAGCAGCGAACGGGUGAGUAACGCGUGGGGAAUCUGCCUUUGAGCGGGGGACAACAUUUGGAAACGAAUGCUAAUACCGCAUAAAAACUUUAAACACAAGUUUUAAGUUUGAAAGAUGCAAUUGCACCACUCAAAGAUGAUCCCGCGUUGUAUUAGCUAGUUGGUGAGGUAAAGGCUCACCAAGGCGAUGAUACAUAGCCGACCUGAGAGGGUGAUCGGCCACAUUGGGACUGAGACACGGCCCAAACUCCUACGGGAGGCAGCAGUAGGGAAUCUUCGGCAAUGGACGAAAGUCUGACCGAGCAACGCCGCGUGAGUGAAGAAGGCUUUCGGAUCAUAAAACUCUGUUGGUAGAGAAGAACGUUGGUGAGAGUGGAAAGCUCAUCAAGUGACGGUAACUACCCAGAAAGGGACGGCUAACUACGUG
This 497-nucleotide ribosomal RNA is filed under the name uncultured bacterium. RNAcentral's name for it is "partial 16S ribosomal RNA". It matches the Rfam family "Bacterial small subunit ribosomal RNA", at positions 28 to 507 of the family's 1533-position model. The record is from RNAcentral.